This 489-nucleotide ribosomal RNA is filed under the name Triticum aestivum (bread wheat). RNAcentral describes it as "partial small subunit ribosomal RNA". The record is from RNAcentral. Lineage: Eukaryota; Viridiplantae; Streptophyta; Magnoliopsida; Poales; Poaceae.
AUGCUCGGCAAGAUCUUUGCCCGGCUGCCAGUCAAGUCAGUUGGCCGCUUCCGGUGCCUGUCGCGCUUGUGGGCCGCCUCACUCUCAUCGGCCUCCUUCGUCGACCUCCACCACCAGCAAGCGAACCACCACCACCACCAGCAGCGGUCGGCAGGCACGCCGCCCAAUCUCUUCUUCACGACCGCGCAGCGCUGCCUCCACGCGUGGUGGUGGCGGUGGCACGACGAGGAUGGUCUGCCAGUAAUGCAACGGCAGACCGGCGCGAUGGCGCUCUCUCUUCUUCCGCAGCUGGACAGCGAGUCAGCGACCAUGCUCUCCGGGUGCUCAUCCCAAAGCCUUGCCACGGUCUUGUCCUGCUCCACCGCUGGCCCUAUCAUGGUCACUACGUGUGCAACCCGAGCACCGGCACACUCUGGUGUCUUCCGGACACCAAAAUACCGAGCAGGAUGUGCUGGUGGUACAACUACAGCCUACCGGGCACAUACGUAA